RNAcentral lists this ribosomal RNA (497 nucleotides) under uncultured bacterium. Its description in RNAcentral is "partial 16S ribosomal RNA". It matches the Rfam family "Bacterial small subunit ribosomal RNA", at positions 28 to 507 of the family's 1533-position model. The record is from RNAcentral.
GACGAACGCUGGCGGCGUGCCUAAUACAUGCAAGUUGAGCGCUGAAGGUUGGUACUUGUACCGACUGGAUGAGCAGCGAACGGGUGAGUAACGCAUGGGGAAUCUGCCUUUGAGCGGGGGACAACAUUUGGAAACGAAUGCUAAUACCGCAUAAAAACUUUAAACACAAGUUUUAAGUUUGAAAGAUGCAAUUGCAUCACUUAAAGAUGAUCCCGCGUUGUAUUAGCUAGUUGGUGAGGUAAAGGCUCACCAAGGCGAUGAUACAUAGCCGACCUGAGAGGGUGAUCGGCCACAUUGGGACUGAGACACGGCCCAAACUCCUACGGGAGGCAGCAGUAGGGAAUCUUCGGCAAUGGACGAAAGUCUGACCGAGCAACGCCGCGUGAGUGAAGAAGGUUUUCGGAUCGUAAAACUCUGUUGGUAGAGAAGAACGUUGGUGAGAGUGGAAAGCUCAUCAAGUGACGGUAACUACCCAGAAAGGGACGGCUAACUACGUG